GACGAACGCUGGCGGCGUGCUUAACACAUGCAAGUCGAACGAAGUGGCGAGCGGGUGAGUAACGCGUAAUCAACCUGCCCUUCAGAGGGUGACAACUGGUGACAACGACUGCUAAUACCGCAUACUGAAGGUGGGGAUUGCGUCUGAUUGGCUAGUUGGCGGGGUAACGGCCCACAAAGGCGAUGAUCAGUAGCCGGGCUGAGAGGAUGAACGGCCACAACGGGACUGAGACACGGCCCAGACUCCUACGGGAGGCAGCAGGGGGGAAGUUUCCGCAAUGGACGAAAGUCCGACGGAGCAACGCCGCGGGAGUGAUGACGGCCUUCGGGUUGUAAAGCUCUGUUAAUCGGGACGCGGUACCGGAAUAGAAAGCCACGGCUAACUACGUGCCAGCAGCCGCGGUAAUAC
Molecule: ribosomal RNA, 408 nt
Filed under: uncultured bacterium
Lineage: Bacteria
Description: partial 16S ribosomal RNA
Rfam family: Bacterial small subunit ribosomal RNA
Source: RNAcentral